Molecule: non-coding RNA, 73 nt
Organism: Mustela putorius furo (domestic ferret)
Lineage: Eukaryota; Metazoa; Chordata; Mammalia; Carnivora; Mustelidae
Source: Rfam
GCCUGGCAGGCUCAGUCAGUAGAGCAUGUGACUAUUGAUCUCAGGGUUGUGAGUUCAAGCCCCACAUUGGGUG